Molecule: long non-coding RNA, 1137 nt
Organism: Oncorhynchus masou masou (cherry salmon)
Lineage: Eukaryota; Metazoa; Chordata; Actinopteri; Salmoniformes; Salmonidae
Exons: 4
Source: RefSeq, a predicted model, not a curated record
CUGAAAACGCUCUUGCCAAGUUUGAAUGCGACAACAGUUAAAAAGGACAGAACAUGGACACAAUGCAAUUGGGAUCAAGAAGAAGAUCUUCUCAGAAAUGAAUCAAGGCCAUGGAAUGGACAUAGACGAAAAGACCAUUCAAGGACUCCGCAAGGCUAGUUGGCAAAAUUAUAGCAGAGGUAGAGAGGCGAGGCAGGGGUGAGGACAUCAUCCAGCUAUUUCGGCAAUCCCUGAAGGACAAUACAGAAGAGACACACAGGGGUAUUUGCUCUUUUUCCUUCCCUUUCUCUAAUGUAGCCAAUACAUAGUACAUAAAAAAUGUAUUUUGUAAUAAAAUUAGCAAUUGUAGUAAGAUCAUUGCUUUACUUAAUUGGACUCAAGACCACAGCAGCGAUCCUGCUCUUGCCAUACCUCUUCAAUGAGGACCCGAGUGGCCUUUAUGUCCAUGACAAGAUUUCAUCGCUCCCCACUCCUUUACUGCACAUCGGCGGAAAUCCAUUUCACCAUAAGAGUGAAAUCACGCUGGCCUUUUAUGGGAAGAACAUCCACACCCUAAAGGACGUCCCCAUGGGACUCUGGGCUCUGUUCGGACUGUAUUUUUUAUUUUCAGUUACAUUACCCCCCCCCAAAAUUAAGAAAAAGACUUAAGUUUUUAAGUUACUUUUACUAGGGCCGGUCAUUGUCACACCCUGACCGUAGAGAGCCCUUGGUUCUCUAUGGUGUUGAGGUCAGAGCGUGACUAGGGGGGUGUUCUAGUUUUUAUAUUUCUAUGUUGGUGUGCUUGGUAUGGUUCCCAAUUAGAGACAGCUGGUAAUCGUUGCCUCUAAUUGGGGAUCAUAUUUAGGUAGCCUUUUUCCCCAUCUGUGUUUUGUGGGAUAUUGUUGGUGUGUGUGCUAGUUGCACCACCUAUGUUACGUUUUGUUCCAAGUUUCACAAAAUAAAAUAUGUGGAACUCAGAGCACGCUGCACCUUAGUCCGUCUCUCCUCACGUUCAAGACAGUAAUAAAGAUGGAAAACGUCCUAAUUUAACUAAGUGGUUGUUGGGCACGAGUACUGCAGGCAAUGUGUUGAUCAAAUCAAAUGAUGUCACAUGCGCUGAAUACAACAGGUACCUUACAGUGAAAUGCUUACUUAGCC